UACGUAGGGUGCAAGCGUUAAUCGGAAUUACUGGGCGUAAAGCGUGCGCAGGCGGUUUUGUAAGUCUGAUGUGAAAUCCCCGGGCUCAACCUGGGAAUUGCAUUGGAGACUGCAAGGCUAGAAUCUGGCAGAGGGGGGUAGAAUUCCACGUGUAGCAGUGAAAUGCGUAGAGAUGUGGAGGAACACCGAUGGCGAAGGCAGCCCCCUGGGUCAAGAUUGACGCUCAUGCACGAAAGCGUGGGGAGCAAACAAG
Molecule: ribosomal RNA, 253 nt
Filed under: uncultured bacterium
Lineage: Bacteria
Description: partial 16S ribosomal RNA
Rfam family: Bacterial small subunit ribosomal RNA
Source: RNAcentral